Pseudopipra pipra is the source of this 1182-nucleotide long non-coding RNA. RefSeq lists it as uncharacterized. The transcript has 2 exons. The record is from RefSeq and is a predicted model, not a curated record. NCBI's taxonomy places the organism in Eukaryota, Metazoa, Chordata, Aves, Passeriformes, Pipridae.
GCCUGUGCUAUUCAUAAUAAUAAUAAUGUCAGAAUAUGAGUUAAUCAGAUUACUCACUUCUGAGUAAAUAAAAUGAUUUACACGGAAAGCCCAAGUGGUUUCCUGGCAAAAAACAGGCCAUCAGUUUACACUACAAGUGACUAUCUCCUAAAGCAGCUUGUGCAUGUGGGAGCAGCCAGCUAUUGUUUUGCUGAUUCCAAGCAAACUGCAGUCAAGGCAGGCCAGCUUCAUCAGUUGUUUGGAAAGGAUUGUGCCACUUUAAGAACACCAAGUGGGAGGCAACACAAGUACCACUGAACAAACAAGUACCUGUGUACACUGCUGUGCUCACCUGAGCCUCACACAGGCGAGGGGACGCUGCCCUCACCCUCCCUCGUUCAUUCUGCAGAUUGAACACCUCUAACACCCGCUCUUGCUGCCUGAGGGUGGAGGAUGGACACCCAAACGAAGCAACAUGAUUUUUUGUGCAAGACACCUUGAGGACACUGAGAAGCCUCGGACUCUUGAAAUGGAGGAAAUAACGGUGGAAACAGUCCUGGCCCCGUGGCAAAUCCUGCUGGUGAUCCUCGCCGCAGUGCUGACCAUGAGUCUCCUCAUGCUCCUGCCCCCCGCUGCCGUGGUGCUCUGGAGGAUGAAGCGUGUGCCGCAGAUCUCCCUGCACGGCUCGGUGUGAGCCAGCCCUGCCAACAGCUGCCACACCACCCAUCCCUGCAGAGGAUGGUUCGGAACGAUCACAUCUCUCAGGAUCGCUCUUUCUGCCCAAGAUCCACCCAAAAGCAGCGGGUUUACCCAUCUAUUGCUGCUUAGUUCCUGUGAGUAGAGAAUGGGUGUAAUUUUGUCGUCGUGAACUACAGUUUUGAGCACUUUGACUUUCAUUUUUUGGCUAUAUUUUAAUUACUGUUAUUGGCUCAGUUCCUAGACUGAGUUCUUCUCUUGUGUUAUAAUGGCCUGAAGGAGAAGCAAGCAUAAUGCAGCAUUGUAUUUCCUUAAUUAAUAUCAGGAAAGCUGCCCUGUUUAUAGUUACACUGUAAAUAUUACCAAAGCCUUCUAGCUGAGAUGACUGACAGUUAUGCAAGUGAACUUAUCAAAAGCAUGCAGGACACUCUAGGGAGGUAGUACUUUAGCCUGGUUGUAUUGCAGAACCUAAAAAAAUAAAUAAUCAGAGAAUGGUGCAAUAAAUAA